AAGAAAUCGGCUCGUGUGCAUGUACACGUGCACACACACACAUGUGAGCGUGUAACCAGAGUAACCAUGAAGCAGCCGCAUGUAAAUCAGUGUAGCUUGUUCCAAGCUUGACACCAACUGCCUGGUUACUGACACUUCCUACUUUCCUCCCCUGGAGAAGAGAAAAACUGAGCAAUGCCUGAAGUGCAGCUGCGACGAGUCCUUGACCGGCUAGGAAGAAGUUCACAGGCUUUGGUCACCAGCUCUGUCCACAGGGUGUGCACAGCUCACUGAGUAAUCUCAGGAACAUCCAGCAAGAAAAUUUCUGGGAAGUUUCUCAGCAAACAUUAAAGUCCUUGGUUGACGUCAGACAUCUCACAGCAGAAUCCUCUCACCACCUGGCCAGACAGUGCUCCCGGUGCCCAUUUCCCCUUUUGGUGUCUGUGUUACUGAUGUCUUUAAUCAUAUAUUCAAAUAAUUUAUUUGGCCACUUGUUUUAUGCUGAGUCUUGUG
RNAcentral lists this long non-coding RNA (492 nucleotides) under Chinchilla lanigera (long-tailed chinchilla). RNAcentral's name for it is "lncRNA (ENSCLAG00000025609.1)". The record is from RNAcentral. Lineage: Eukaryota; Metazoa; Chordata; Mammalia; Rodentia; Chinchillidae.